Molecule: ribosomal RNA, 492 nt
Filed under: uncultured bacterium
Lineage: Bacteria
Description: partial 16S ribosomal RNA
Rfam family: Bacterial small subunit ribosomal RNA
Source: RNAcentral
AGUGAACGCUGGCGGCAGGCCUAACACAUGCAAGUCGAACGGCAGCACAGUAAGAGCUUGCUCUUACGGGUGGCGAGUGGCGGACGGGUGAGGAAUACAUCGAAAUCUACUUUUUCGUGGGGGAUAACGUAGGGAAACUUACGCUAAUACCGCAUACGACCUACGGGUGAAAGCAGGGGAUCUUCGGACCUUUCGCGAUUGAAUGAGCCGAUGUCGGAUUAGCUAGUUGGCGGGGUAAAGGCCCACCAAGGCGACGAUCCGUAGCUGGUCUGAGAGGAUGAUCAGCCACACUGGAACUGAGACACGGUCCAGACUCCUACGGGAGGCAGCAGUGGGGAAUAUUGGACAAUGGGCGCAAGCCUGAUCCAGCCAUACCGCGUGGGUGAAGAAGGCCUUCGGGUUGUAAAGUCCUUUUGUUGGGAAAGAAAAGAAGCAGGUUAAUACCCCGCUGUUCUGACGGUACCCGAAGAAUAAGCACCGGCUAACUUCGUG